Mus musculus (house mouse) is the source of this 4762-nucleotide RNA transcript. It is a transcript of the gene named Eph receptor A8, with no coding region annotated. The transcript has 17 exons. The record is from RefSeq and is marked validated. NCBI's taxonomy places the organism in Eukaryota, Metazoa, Chordata, Mammalia, Rodentia, Muridae.
GCAGGAUGGCAUGGGCAGGGUCGGAGGGAGGAUGCCCUGGGGACUGAGAAUCGGAGGCUGGGGACAAGGGGACAGGACCGGACAGAAGACAGAAGAGGUAUGGAGGAGAGAGGGUUCAGAAAGAAGGCAAGGGAUGGGAACCGAGGACCAAACGGGCUGAAGGCACUGGACGGACAGGGAGACGCAAGAAUCCAAAAAUCGGGGACAAGUGAACUUGUUGGAUACAUCAACCAUCCACGGAGACUGGGGCUGGCUCACGUAUCCCGCUCAUGGGUGGGACUCCAUCAACGAGGUAGACGAGUCCUUCCGGCCCAUCCACACGUACCAAGUAUGCAACGUCAUGAGCCCCAACCAGAACAACUGGCUGCGCACGAACUGGGUGCCCCGCGACGGCGCCAGGCGUGUCUACGCCGAGAUCAAAUUCACCCUGCGUGACUGCAAUAGCAUCCCAGGGGUGUUAGGUACCUGCAAGGAGACCUUCAACCUUCACUACCUGGAGUCUGACCGCGACCUGGGGGCCAGCACACAAGAGAGCCAGUUCCUCAAGAUUGACACCAUCGCGGCGGAUGAGAGCUUCACGGGCGCAGACCUGGGUGUGCGGAGGCUCAAGCUGAACACGGAGGUGCGUGGCGUGGGCCCGCUCAGCAAGCGCGGCUUCUACCUGGCCUUCCAGGACAUAGGUGCCUGCCUCGCCAUCCUCUCACUCCGAAUCUACUACAAGAAGUGCCCCGCCAUGGUACGCAACCUGGCAGCCUUCUCGGAGGCGGUUACUGGGGCCGACUCGUCCUCGCUGGUUGAGGUUCGAGGCCAGUGUGUGCGGCACUCGGAAGAGCGCGACACACCCAAGAUGUACUGCAGUGCUGAGGGCGAAUGGCUGGUGCCCAUCGGCAAGUGCGUGUGCAGUGCUGGCUAUGAGGAGCGGCGGGAUGCCUGCAUGGCCUGUGAGCUGGGCUUCUACAAGUCAGCCCCCGGGGACCAGCUGUGCGCCCGAUGCCCACCCCACAGCCACUCUGCCACCCCUGCGGCCCAGACCUGCCGUUGUGACCUCAGCUACUACCGCGCGGCCUUGGACCCACCAUCGGCAGCCUGCACCCGGCCACCCUCAGCACCAGUGAACCUGAUCUCCAGCGUAAAUGGAACGUCUGUGACCCUCGAGUGGGCCCCUCCUCUGGACCCAGGUGGUCGCAGCGACAUCACCUACAACGCAGUGUGCCGCCGCUGCCCCUGGGCCCUGAGCCACUGUGAGGCUUGUGGGAGUGGAACUCGCUUCGUCCCGCAGCAGACAAGCCUGGCACAGGCCAGCCUGCUGGUGGCCAACCUGCUAGCCCACAUGAACUACUCCUUCUGGAUCGAGGCAGUCAACGGUGUCUCCAACCUGAGCCCUGAGCCCCGCAGCGCUGCUGUGGUCAACAUCACCACGAACCAGGCAGCCCCGUCCCAGGUGGUGGUGAUCCGGCAGGAGCGGGCUGGGCAGACCAGCGUGUCACUCCUGUGGCAGGAACCAGAGCAGCCCAACGGCAUCAUUCUGGAGUACGAGAUCAAGUACUACGAGAAGGAUAAGGAGAUGCAAAGUUACUCUACCCUCAAGGCUGUCACCACCCGCGCCACCGUGUCAGGCCUCAAACCAGGCACUCGCUACGUGUUCCAGGUCCGAGCCCGCACCUCAGCAGGCUGUGGCCGCUUCAGCCAGGCCAUGGAGGUGGAGACCGGGAAACCCAGGCCCCGCUACGACACUCGGACCAUCGUCUGGAUCUGCCUGACACUCAUCACGGGCCUGGUGGUGCUCCUCUUGCUUCUCAUCUGCAAGAAGAGGCACUGUGGCUACAGCAAGGCGUUCCAGGACUCGGAUGAAGAGAAGAUGCAUUACCAGAACGGGCAGGCACCCCCACCUGUCUUCUUGCCCUUGAACCACCCCCCGGGGAAGUUCCCAGAAACCCAGUUCUCUGCAGAGCCCCACACCUAUGAGGAACCAGGUCGGGCAGGCCGGAGCUUUACCCGAGAGAUCGAGGCAUCCAGGAUCCACAUUGAGAAGAUCAUAGGCUCGGGGGAGUCAGGAGAAGUGUGCUAUGGGAGGCUGCAGGUGCCAGGACAGCGCGAUGUGCCUGUGGCCAUCAAGGCUCUCAAAGCUGGCUACACGGAGAGACAGCGACAAGACUUCUUGAGCGAGGCAGCCAUCAUGGGCCAAUUUGAUCACCCUAACAUCAUCCGCCUUGAGGGUGUGGUCACCCGUGGUCGCCUGGCAAUGAUUGUGACGGAGUACAUGGAAAAUGGCUCUCUGGAUGCCUUCCUCAGGACCCACGAUGGGCAGUUCACCAUCGUGCAGCUAGUGGGCAUGCUCAGAGGGGUGGGCGCUGGCAUGCGCUACCUCUCAGACCUGGGCUACAUUCACCGUGACCUGGCUGCCCGCAAUGUCCUGGUGGAUGGCCGUCUGGUGUGCAAAGUGUCAGACUUUGGGCUCUCAAGGGCUCUGGAGGAUGACCCCGAAGCUGCCUACACCACUGCGGGAGGGAAGAUCCCUAUCCGAUGGACAGCGCCGGAGGCCAUUGCUUUCCGCACGUUCUCCUCAGCCAGUGAUGUGUGGAGCUUUGGUGUGGUCAUGUGGGAGGUUCUAGCCUAUGGUGAACGACCCUACUGGAACAUGACCAACCAGGAUGUCAUCAGCUCUGUGGAGGAGGGUUAUAGGCUGCCAGCACCCAUGGGUUGCCCACGUGCCCUACACCAGCUCAUGCUGGACUGCUGGCACAAGGACCGUGCCCAGCGGCCUCGCUUCGCUCAUGUCGUGAGCGUUCUGGAUGCCCUGGUCCACAGUCCUGAGAGCCUCAGGGCCACAGCCACAGUCAGCAGGUGCCCACCCCCUGCCUUCGCCAGGAGCUGCUUUGACCUCCGAGCAGGCGGAAGUGGGAACGGGGACCUCACAGUGGGGGACUGGCUGGACUCCAUCCGAAUGGGGCGCUACCGGGACCACUUCGCGGCUGGCGGGUACUCCUCCCUCGGCAUGGUGCUUCGGAUGAACGCCCAGGAUGUGCGCGCCCUCGGCAUCACUCUCAUGGGUCACCAGAAGAAGAUACUUGGAAGCAUCCAGACCAUGAGGGCCCAGCUGAGCAGCACCCAGGGACCCCGCCGGCACCUCUGACCCAUGGCCACUUGGCACUGGUUAUACCAGCUGUCAGGGGCUCCACGCCCCCCCCAUCAGUCAGGGUAGCCCCCAGAGCAAUACCACAGGACCUAGAGUGACAGAGGUCAGGCACCUGGGACAAGGACCUUGGUGCUCCAGGUAGAGAGGACACCUGCCCUCUGGAAGCAGGCACAGGACCUUGUGUCUUCUAGAGCCUGGGGCCUCCAACACCAGAAGCCGAUGGUGACAUCACUCACCUAGCUGUGGGUGCAUGCGUGCAUGCAUAGGGUUGAUGGUAGGUAUGGGGGUGCCCCACAAGGUCCUGGCAGCUGAUGGAAACAAUGUGUAAUCAUGUCUCUGUUCCCCGUCAGGCCCCAGCACAGACGUGUGCAGGUCACCAUGAGUGUGCUUAUCUGCUAAGGGCAGGAGCCACACGUGUGUGACCGCAGAUAACACGUCAUGAAUGAGGAGGCAUGACAGAGUGUGAGCAGGGGAUCUGAGCUGACACUGCCCAGUUCCCAGGACCUGUGGGGAUCAGACAGUGCCUGCAGGCUGGAGCCCAGGCUGCUUCCGAAUCACACCAGCACCAGGCCCACUGCCCAGCCUGGGUGAACCCACCAUGGCAAUACCUCAGGUCCGGGACUCCUUCCUACUUUGGAGGGCAGGGCCACCUGCAGCCUCUGCCUGGCUCCUCCUGCUACUCAACAGGAAAACAGGGUUCCUGGCCAGUCCCUCUGGCCACCUUCCGUAGAGGAUCACAGCAGAGCGUGAGAUGCCCUCGGUGGGGCAUGACUGCCUGGCCAUCUGCUCUCAUGGCUGUGAUGCCUCUGCCCAACGUCCCACUACCCAUCCCUGCCACCCCUGCCCAUGCUGGGAACAGGAGCAUGGGGCAGACUCUCAAGCCCCAAACCCACCCCUUCCUAUACCAUAUAGGUAAUGCCCAGAGACGAGGAUGCCUUGCCUGAGGUCACAUGACAGCCAAAUUUCAGCGUUGGGGCCCUCAUACCCCCAGCCAUGGUCUGUUCUUCCCAACCUCCCCUCCCCAGACUGCUAGGAUGGGAGGGGCCUGGGAAGCUCACCGCCACAGGCUGAUAACCCCCUUACGGCCCACCAGGGUAUGUAAAUAUCUUUUUUUCUACCAUGUCAGAAUAUUUUUUUCUCCUCACUUCUGACAAUGCAAAAAUGGUCUUCAAAGCACAUGCAAAGCUCCCUGGGUGAGAGAGCCCCAUCCUGGGGGAGGCAGGGCCCAAGGAGCCCCGGCCCAGAGGACAGGGUGGCCCCCUUCCCUGCCCAUCCCUGCCCACAGCCAGCACAGCACCCUGUGAGACACCAGCACUGAGCCCCCUCCCUUCUGCAAUAAUUCAGGGGCUUCAGCCCCACCCAGGUGCCGUGCGCUGCCAGCUCCUGCGCUUCUAUAUAUUAUAGUACUAUGUAGCCGAGCUGCCCUUCCUUCCUAUGGAAGUGGGAAACAUGGUCAGGACACGAGGGGUGGGGACACCUUGUCUUCCACCCCACCCCACUCACCCAGUGUCUGGGCUUAGGAUCCUCAGGCAAGGCCCCUGGGGUGGGGCUCCUGGGGGCCUCUCUGUGGUUCCCAUCCUGAGUCUGGAAUCACUUGUGAUGAGAAUAAAUACUGUCUCAUCUUCA